RNAcentral lists this ribosomal RNA (253 nucleotides) under uncultured bacterium. RNAcentral describes it as "partial 16S ribosomal RNA". It matches the Rfam family "Bacterial small subunit ribosomal RNA", at positions 524 to 776 of the family's 1533-position model. The record is from RNAcentral.
UACGUAGGGACCAAGCGUUGUUCGGAUUUACUGGGCGUAAAGGGCGCGUAGGCGGCGCGGUAAGUCACUUGUGAAAUCUCUGAGCUUAACUCAGAACGGCCAAGUGAUACUGCAGUGCUAGAGUGUGGAAGGGGCAAUCGGAAUUCUUGGUGUAGCGGUGAAAUGCGUAGAUAUCUAGAGGAACACCUGAGGUGAAGACGGGUUGCUGGGCUAACACUGACGCUGAUGCGCGAAAGCCAGGGGAGCAAACGGG